Molecule: ribosomal RNA, 477 nt
Filed under: uncultured bacterium
Lineage: Bacteria
Description: partial 16S ribosomal RNA
Rfam family: Bacterial small subunit ribosomal RNA
Source: RNAcentral
GAUGAACGCUGGCGGCGUGCCUAACACAUGCAAGUCGAACGAAGCGCCUUACCGGAUUCUUCGGAUGACGGUCUGGUGACUGAGUGGCGGACGGGUGAGUAACGCGUGGGUAACCUGCCCAGUACAGGGGGACAACAGCUGGAAACGGCUGCUAAUACCGCAUAUGCGCACGAGGAGACAUCUCCUUGUGUGAAAAACUUCGGUGGUACAGGAUGGGCCCGCGUCUGAUUAGCUGGUUGGCAGGGUAACGGCCUACCAAGGCAACGAUCAGUAGCCGGUCAGAGAGGAUGAACAGCCACAUUGGAAGUGAGACACGGUCCAAACUCCAACGGGAUGCAGCAGUGGGGAAUAUUGCACAAUGGGGGAAACCCUGAUGCAGCAACGCCGCGUGAGUGAAGAAGUAUUGCAGUAUGUAAAGCUCUAUCAGCAGGGAAGAGAAUGACGGUACCUGACUAAGAAGCUCCGGCUAAAUACGUG